UGCCUGAUGGGAGAAAUGCAACACCUAUUUCAAAUGCCUCUCAUAAAGAGGCUAUAGUUUCUGUUUCUAUAACUUUAAGAAUCAAAUGGGACAAGAUGGAGAAAACAGAGUGAAGAUUAGAGGAAGACAAGAUGAUCAAGGGAUCUUUCUUUAUGAAACUAUUGUAGUCAUUGUCUUGCAAGAAUUGCCAGAUCCUGGAUCUAAAGCUGGAAGAGACCACUGAGUUAAACCAGUCCAAAUCCCAACUUUAUACAUGAGGAAGAUGAGGCUUAGGCAAGCUAAGUGACUUUCUUGUAGUGAUACAGAUAAUAAAUAUCAGAGGUAGAGUUUGAACCCAGAUU
Phascolarctos cinereus (koala) is the source of this 341-nucleotide non-coding RNA. Lineage: Eukaryota; Metazoa; Chordata; Mammalia; Diprotodontia; Phascolarctidae. The record is from RefSeq and is a predicted model, not a curated record.